GCAUGCCGCGGUGAAUACGUUCCCGGGCCUUGUACACACCGCCCGUCACACCAUGGGAGCCGGUAAUACCCGAAGUCAGUAGUCCAACCACGUGAGGACGCUGCCGAAGGUAGGAUUGGCGACUGGGGUGAAGUCGUAACAAGGUACC
RNAcentral lists this ribosomal RNA (148 nucleotides) under uncultured bacterium. RNAcentral describes it as "partial 16S ribosomal RNA". It matches the Rfam family "Bacterial small subunit ribosomal RNA", at positions 1352 to 1500 of the family's 1533-position model. The record is from RNAcentral.